RNAcentral lists this long non-coding RNA (567 nucleotides) under Equus caballus (horse). Its description in RNAcentral is "lncRNA (ENSECAG00000058537.1)". Lineage: Eukaryota; Metazoa; Chordata; Mammalia; Perissodactyla; Equidae. The record is from RNAcentral.
UAGGAUGCCAUCUCUUCUCUCCCCACCAGGUGUUUGGGCCCCAGAGCCGGAGAGUCCCCAGGGAAGACUGCUGUUUGUGGAACCGAGCAGCCCUUGAGUUCAUUAAUAAAUCGGAACUGUCAUUCUUGACGAUUCAGUCAGUUGCACUGUGCCUGAGGAGGCAGACUGCCUGCCUACAGGCCUGAAUGGAAUUCCUGGUGUCGGAAACAUCCUGGAGAACAAAGCACCCUUAUCUCUGGGACACCGAGCUAAUGAGCCCAAGAGCACGUGCUGCUGCUGGAAGGGGCCGGCACAGAGCGGUUCAGGCUGCUGGCUCCCCCCGCCCUGCCCUGCAGUUCCGGGGGUCUCGUUGUAGUUUGAGCCUCCGCCCGUCCUCCAGGCUGUCAGCGAAGACUGCAGGUGGCCUCCCUGGAGACCCCUCCCCGUUCGCUGCUGCUAACAGCUUAGCAAGCAGAGGACCGGCACUGCCAGUCUGAGUGCAGAGGAAGAGCCAGCGGGCGCUCCGGGAGGCCUCAGAGGCUUUUUGGACAAUAAAGGGUAUGGCAACUGGGUAUCCACUUGGUGGCC